GACGAACGCUGGCGGCGUGCCUAACACAUGCAAGUCGAACGGAGAAUUUAUUUAUAAAUUCUUAGUGGCGAACGGGUGAGUAACGCGUAGACAACCUGCCUUUUAGAUGGGGACAACACCGCGAAAGUGGUGCUAAUACCGAAUGUUGUAUUUGGUUCGCAUGAAUUGGAUACUAAAGAUGGCCUCUAUUUAUAAGCUAUCGCUAAAAGAUGGGUCUGCGUCUGAUUAGCUAGUUGGUGAGGUAAUGGCUCACCAAGGCGACGAUCAGUAGCCGGUCGGAGAGGAUGAACGGCAACACUGGGACUGAGACACGGCCCAGACUCCUACGGGAGGCAGCAGUGGGGAAUCUUCCGCAAAGGACGAAAGUCUGACGGAGCAACGCCGCGUGAGUGAGGAAGGUUUUCGGAUCGUAAAACUCUGUUUUCAGGGACGAAUGUGCAGAUUGUGAAUAAUGAUUUGUAAUGACGGUACCUGAGUAGAAAGCCACGGCUAACUACGUGCCAGCAGCCGCGGUAA
This 516-nucleotide ribosomal RNA is filed under the name uncultured bacterium. Its description in RNAcentral is "partial 16S ribosomal RNA". It matches the Rfam family "Bacterial small subunit ribosomal RNA", at positions 28 to 523 of the family's 1533-position model. The record is from RNAcentral.